GGCCUUGACAUACUAAGAACUUUCCAGAGAUGGAUUGGUGCCUUCGGGAACUUAGAUACAGGUGCUGCAUGGCUGUCAUCAGCUCGUGUCGUGAGAUGUUGGGUUAACGUCCGCAACGAGCGCAACCCUUUUCCUUAUUUGCCGGCGGGUCAUGCCGGGAACUUUAAGGAUACUGCCAGUGACAAACUGGAGGAAGGCGGGGACGACGUCAAGUCAUCAUGGCCCUUACGGCCAGGGCUACACACGUGCUACAAUGGUCGGUACAAAGGGUUGCUACCUCGCGAGAGGAUGCUAAUCUCAAAAAGCCGAUCGUAGUCCGGAUCGCAGUCUGCAACUCGACUGCGUGAAGUCGGAAUCGCUAGUAAUCGCGGAUCAGAAUGCCGCGGUGAAUACGUUCCCGGGCCUUGUACACACCGCCCGUCACACCAUGGGAGUUUGUUGCACCAGAAGUAGGUAGUCUAACCGCAAGGAGGACGCUUACCACGGUGUGGCCGAUGACUGGGGUGAAGUCGUAACAAGGUAAGCGUAGAUGA
Molecule: ribosomal RNA, 533 nt
Filed under: uncultured bacterium
Lineage: Bacteria
Description: bacterial SSU rRNA
Rfam family: Bacterial small subunit ribosomal RNA
Source: RNAcentral